Molecule: ribosomal RNA, 454 nt
Filed under: uncultured bacterium
Lineage: Bacteria
Description: partial 16S ribosomal RNA
Rfam family: Bacterial small subunit ribosomal RNA
Source: RNAcentral
GAUGAACGCUGACAGAAUGCUUAACACAUGCAAGUCUACUUGAACUUCGGUUUGGGUGGCGGACGGGUGAGUAACGCGUAAAGAACUUGCCUCACAGUUAGGGACAACAUUUGGAAACGAAUGCUAAUACCUGAUAUUAUGAUUUUAGGGCAUCCUAGGAUUAUGAAAGCUAUAUGUGCUGUGAGAGAGCUUUGCGUCCCAUUAGCUAGUUGGAGAGGUAACGGCUCACCAAGGCGAUGAUGGGUAGCCGGCCUGAGAGGGUGAACGGCCACAAGGGGACUGAGACACGGCCCUUACUCCUACGGGAGGCAGCAGUGGGGAAUAUUGGACAAUGGAACAAAAGUCUGAUCCAGCAAUUCUGUGUGCACGAUGACGUUUUUCGGAAUGUAAAGUGCUUUCAGUUGGGAAGAAAAAAAUGACGGUACCAACAGAAGAAGUGACGGCUAAAUACGUG